This 460-nucleotide ribosomal RNA is filed under the name uncultured bacterium. RNAcentral describes it as "partial 16S ribosomal RNA". It matches the Rfam family "Bacterial small subunit ribosomal RNA", at positions 338 to 795 of the family's 1533-position model. The record is from RNAcentral.
CCUACGGGAGGCAGCAGUGAGGAAUAUUGGUCAAUGGGCUUACGCCUGAACCAGCCAAGUCGCGUGAGGGAAGACUGCCCUAUGGGUUGUAAACCUCUUUUGUCAGGGAGCAAUUGGCGCUACGUGUAGCGUUCUCUAGAGUACCUGAAGAAAAAGCAUCGGCUACCUCCGUGCCAGCAGCCGCGGUAAUACGGAGGAUGCGAGCGUUAUCCGGAUUUAUUGGGUUUAAAGGGUGCGUAGGCGGAAUGCCAAGUCAGCGGUAAAAUCGCGGGGCUCAACCUCGCUCCGCCGUUGAAACUGGCGGUCUUGAGUGGGCGAGAAGUAUGCGGAAUGCGUGGUGUAGCGGUGAAAUGCAUAGAUAUCACGCAGAACUCCGAUUGCGAAGGCAGCAUACCGGCGCCCAACUGACGCUGAAGCACGAAAGCGUGGGUAUCGAACAGGAUUAGAUACCCGUGUAGUC